Long non-coding RNA from Ostrea edulis (European flat oyster), 855 nucleotides. RefSeq lists it as uncharacterized. The record is from RefSeq and is a predicted model, not a curated record. The transcript is spliced from 3 exons. Lineage: Eukaryota; Metazoa; Mollusca; Bivalvia; Ostreida; Ostreidae.
UCUGACGACACCUAUAAACCAAAGUGUCGUUUGGUGCAGAACAGCAAAAAGAAAGCUUGUCCUGUUCGAAUUAAAAUUCGGCUUGUUGUGAAGUUCUUAAGCUAUUCGCUUUCAAGUGAAGAAAAUACACCUCAUCAGAAGAAGAAAUUGGUUACGAAUCUUAAAGAAGACCUGAAAAAUUCACCUGUAGAGAAUAUUGAACAUCAUUUUAUAUACAUUUCCCUGCGGUUGAAGAUCAUAGAAAUCACCUGAAAGGAGAGGCAUCCAGUAUCCUCCCACCAAUGGACAAAAGACUCUGAUUACACCAAAAUAGUUGUCGCUGAACAUGGGGUGACUAGUACUCUAAAAAUGAAAUUGCUCUUACACGUUGUUUUUUUUUUUUACGACAGUCCAUUUUCAUCAAUGCUUCUCUUCCAUUAAGACAUGUAAUACUUGUGUAUGGUCUUAAUAUUGUGUGGGGAAUUUUUUCUGCAGGUUUACGUAAUUUUUAUCUUCAAGUUCUUCAGUGACUGAACAAAAUAGGUGUGGUUCAAUCCUAAAUGAUAUAUCAAUAUAUUGAAUAUUUUGUAUAAAAGUAGGACCAAAGCUCUACAAUUAUAGGCAUAUCAUUAUGUAUUUGCCAAAUAACUGCAAAAUAAAUUACUUUUCUUACUUUCGUAUAUUUGCCUUAUAUCUGGUGAGCAAAUUAAGACAUAUCUAUUCAGAGACAGGGUCAUGUUUCUGAUUGAGCAGGAUUUUAGGUCACAUGAGUUUACUCGGGUGACCUAUUGCGGGUUUUCGUCGUGUGUUGUCCGUCGUGCGUUAAAAAUUAAACAUUUUUAGUUUCUUCUUAAUAACUAUUAUUCCAAUUCUUUU